Molecule: small RNA, 475 nt
Filed under: Rattus norvegicus (Norway rat)
Lineage: Eukaryota; Metazoa; Chordata; Mammalia; Rodentia; Muridae
Description: uncharacterized LOC103693912
Source: RNAcentral
CUUUGUAAGCCUUAAGUCAUCCAUAGUGACGUUGAACUGACUCCCCACAGCUGAUCCUGUCCUGAGUACUCGGACAGCUUCUGAACCCCCAUUCACUGUCUCUGCUCCCUUUGCCACAUGGACUGGAUCAGCCAAAGAUCCACACAGGCAGAGAAAACCACACUCACAUCACCUAGGAAUCAGCCAGCAUACAGAGAAUCUAGAGACCAUUUUCCAUGAAUACGUCAUUGGUUUAUCUUAGACUGAAAAACUGGAGACUUCAGAGAGUGAGGGCUCAUUUCGUCUGUGCCAUCAAAUCUAAGGGUCUGUAGAGACGGACGCAGCUGCUGACCCCUUCAAGACUGAAAUGCCUGUGUGGGAUAAUGGUCUACAAAGUUCCAAGGACUUGCAAAGGUGAACGAGCAUCUCUUCCUAAAGUGACUCGAAAGGGAGUUGAAUAUACAUCUCAGAAGAAAUGAAAGGAAAAAGAACAGAG